RNAcentral lists this long non-coding RNA (294 nucleotides) under Prunus persica (peach). Its description in RNAcentral is "long non-coding RNA (PPER_LNC004861)". The record is from RNAcentral. Lineage: Eukaryota; Viridiplantae; Streptophyta; Magnoliopsida; Rosales; Rosaceae.
GGAGACCCUGUUGAUAAGGUAAUUAAAAUCUGCACACAAUGCAUUGCAGAAACGGAACUGCAAUGCUGUGUCCGUUUCCUGCAAUGCAGUUUGCAUUUUAUCCAAUGCAGUUUCUGAAUCAUUCUGAUUGUACAUGGUAUUUUGAAAACAUAUAAAAAGAGAAAAACUACCAGAGAAGAAGGAGACCCUCUUGACAAGGUAAUUAGAAUCUCUAAACACUGAAUUAUGCAUUGCAGUUUCCGUUUCCUGUAAUGUAGUUUUUGUUUUAUCCAAUGCAGUUUCUAAUUAGUUUCU